CGACGACAAGAUAAUGGAAGAGAGCAAGGACGAGAGGGGGUCAGGAUUGACACUAACCAACAAGCGAUCUCAGGUCGCACCCAGGUGGACAAAGGAUUAUGACUUAAGCGGACCCAAAGCGUGAUUUCGAAUAAUGGAUUGGGUUAACACCAAUACCAACUACCCAAGGGGUGGUUUCCUAAGUUUUUUUCCACCGCCUCACAUUUUGUAAAAUCCCCAUUGACAUAACUGACUUAUGAAGCUAUAUAUAGCCAUACAUGUAACCUACUUUAGUAAGAAAUAUUUACAUGCAAUUUCACCGCUUUCAUCCUAAAUUUACCGCCUCCAUCCUCACAUUCCACAACCCAUCUUCCUAACGCAUCCGACCACCGGCCGAGCUUCCGUCCAUCGUCGCUCAACCCUCCGUUCGUCGUAGCAUCUUCGCCACAGCUCCCUCGACCUUCCACGAACCUUCCUCUGAAGAGCCAGCCACCACCGGUCUCUCCAACGAGGAGACCCAGCCGCCGUCGAUCUGAUGCCCUGCAACUCCGGCCAUUGUCGAGCACGCUCCAUCAGCCCGACUGUCGUCGAUUCUUCACCCCAGUAACUUAGAAUCAUCAACGAACUAAUUCCCUACUCUUGCCGGUGUCUUUCUCGAGGAGAUCCGUCCAGAAGUUCCAAACAUCAACUCCAGCCAGCAACUCCUGCCAACUUUCUGUCGCCGAUCUACAACUCUGGCGAACCACGAACGACCGCCGAUCAACCUGUAAGUGAUUAGGGUUGUAUCAUUGGUGCUUUCAAAAAAUUUGAACUCAUUACAAGAUGUCUUCUUCUUCAUCGAUCAAUUUAUCUACCAACGCCGAUUUCUUGCGAUUACAAAAUCUUCAAUUAUCGCAAGUAUCUGAAAUGAAUGAGAUGAGAACGAUGAUGAACUAUAACUUUCUGAAAAUUAGCAGACAAAUUUCUAAAAUUUCAAAGAACCACAAACAAAAGCCUCCGGAUGAUGUUAACAAAGGCGUUGUGGGAGCUAAUUACCCAAAUCCUCUACCGAAGCAUCCAUUCUAUCAGUCGAUGGUCGACCUUGAUAACCUGAUCUAUGCUUCAUCUUUGCUUGAGGAUGAAAACUAUACACCUGCUAAAUAUCUGAAAGUGGACAUGCCAAGAUUUGACGGCACAGACGCAGAACAUUGGCUCUUUCAUAAAGUUCCUGAAGAUCAAAAACUGUUAAUUGUUUCUUUUCACUUAAUUGGAUGGGAUUGCUCGAAGUUGGUUCGCAUGGCUCAAGGCAAGUAAUUUAUUAUCUACAUGGAAAAUUUUUGCUGACGCCGUACUAAAAAAAUUCGCAAAUCGACAUUACUCCCUACCUGGUGGGAAAUUGAGCAAGUUAUGUCAAGAGGGUUCUGUUUUUGAUUAUCAAACCCAAUUUGAAGAAAUGUGCACUCGCGUGUUAGGACUGCCCGAGAGCUUUAUUCUAGAAAUGUAUAUUUCAGGUCUUUGGAAGGAUAUACAAACCGAAGUUCUGCGAGAUAGACCAGAAACUAUCCAAGAAGCGUUUGAAUUAUCACUAGUUGUAGAAGGACAAAGACUGGAUUUUCGCAGACAAUAUUCUGCACCAACCAUCAGAACUUACACUGCUCCCUCUAAAGUUGAUUUCCAAUCCACUCCAAAUAAAUUACCCCUUACUGAAGUAUCUAAAGUUAACCCCACAAGAUUACCAGUUUUCAAGAGGCUAUCACCUGCAGAAAGAAAAGAACGGGCUUGCAAAGGAUUAUGUUUCAAUUGCGAUGACAAGUUCUCGUCCGGGCAUAAAUGCCAAGGAAGAUUAUUUUGGUUAUCUGCUGAUAAUGAAACCUUGUGGGAAGUGGAGGAGAAUGGUGAAAAUGAAGAGUACGAGCCCAGUUCUGUAACCGUUCCGAAUGACGAAUCUGUACCUGUACGUCAUACCAACUGAGAUUAAUCUUCAUACCUUCGAAGGUCACAUAAGCGCCAAUACCAUUAGAUUGGAAGGAUUUAUCAAAUACCAGUCGAUAGUGUGUUAGUUGAUACGGGAUCCACUCACAACUUCAUGCAGGAAAAGGUAGCCAAAAUUCUAAAAUUCACUAUUCAUAUUAUUCAUCCUUUCAAAGUUUCUAUAGGAAGUGGCGAAGAUCUAGUAUGUGACAAAUUAUGCAAGGGAGUAGAAAUCAAAGUACAAGACACUUAUAUCAGAAUGGAUAUUUUCUUGCUACCUAUGGCUGGUGCUAAUAUGGUGAUAGGCAUAUAAGGUUUGAAGACUCUUGGACCUGUUACCUUCGACUUUGGUUCCUUACUGAUGAAAUUCAAAUGGGAGGGAGAGUCAGUUAUUUGGAAAGGAUCUCCUUGGAUUUCCAAAGAUCCUCUUACUGUGGGACAGCUAAAGUGGUUAAUAGCAUCCACUACCGAGGCCUACCUAUGUUAUCUACAAGAGCACAAGAACAUUGAAAGUCUGAAUUGUGAAAAUCCGGAACUCACCUCUAUUGUUCAAGAGUAUUGCGAUAUCUUUGAAGCUCCAAAAGGCAUGUCACCUUAGAGGUCGAGAGACCACUACAUCCAUCUGGAACCAGGGUCUAAACCAAUCAAUGUCAGGCCAUAUAGAUACCCUCAGUUUCAGAAAAAUGAAAUAGAAAAAUUGGUGUCAGAAAUGCUUCAACAGGGCAUUAUAAAACACAACUUCAGCCCAUACUCUUCUCCCGUUUUGCUUGUUAAGAAAAAAGAUGGUGGCUACCGCCUACGUGUUGAUUAUAGAGCCCUCAAUGCUCUUACUAUUAAGGACAAGUUUCUCAUUCCUACUGUAGAUGAAUUAUUGGGAGAACUUAAGGGGUCAGUUAUCAUUUCCAAACUCGAUUUGAGGUCAGGAUUCCAUCAAAUCCGGAUACAUCAUUCCCACACAGCAAAGACAGCCUUCAGGACACAUGAGGGGCAUUAUGAAUUUCUUGUGAUGCCUUUUGGGUUAUCCAAUGCACCGACGACAUUCCAGUCUGUCAUGAACAAUGUAUUCUCUGGUUAUCUUCGGAAGUUUGUGGUAGUCUUUUUUGAUGAUAUUCUUGUGUAUAACUCUUCUCUUGCAGACCACAAACUUCACCUGAAGAAGGUAUUUGAGAUUUUAAGAAAAAACGAGUUACUGGCCAAGCUUUCAAAAUGCUCCUUUGGCAAGAAAUCUAUAGGAUUCUUAGGACACAUAAUCGCGGCAGAUGGUGUCCACCCUGAUCCCGAAAAGGUCAAGGCUAUGGAAGAUUGGACAAUACCCAAGAACAUUAAAAGGCUAAGAGGAUUCCUUGGACUGACAGGGUAUUAUAGAAGAUUUGUCAAAGGCUACGCCCAAAUCGCUGCCCCUAUGACUGAUCUUUUGAAAAAGGAUAAUUUCAACUGGACUGACUUUGCAACAACUAGUUUUGAAAACUUGAAGAAGGCCAUGAUGACUGCCCCCGUGCUUGGAUUUCCAGACUUCUCAAAACAGUUCACUGUUGAGACUGAUGCUUCGAAAAAUGGAGUUGGAGCUGUUCUUAUCCAGGAAUCCCACUCUAUUUCUUUCUACGGUUGUAAGCUUUCUGGGAGAUUAAAUGCAGCCUCAGUCUAUGUGAAGGAGAUGUAUGCCAUCACCUAGGCAGUUAACAAGUGGAGGCAUUAUCUUCUUGGCUCCCAUUUUCUUAUCAAAACAGAUCACAAAAUCCUAAAGAACUUACUCACGCAAACCAUCCAAACACCGGAACAACAGGUAUUUUUUUGUAAGCUUUUGGGAUUUGAUUUCUCUAUAAUCUAUAAGCCAGGGAAGGAAAAUUUAGUGGCAGAUGCACUAUCAAGAUCAUUUGAGGAAGGGGAAGAAGAGGUGUUGUUCUCCAGCUGUUCUAAAGGAGAUCCUAGUUCUCUAUUGGCCCUUUCUAUGCCAGUUUAUUCCCUGUUAGAAGAAUUGAAAUCUGUUAAUUCCAAACACGCCACAGUUCAAAGUAUUUGUGCAAAAGUGGAAAAAAGAGAUAUAUCUGUAAGCGAAUUUGAAGUAAGAGGAGGGCAAUUAUUCUUCAAGGAUAGAUAUUAUGUAGCUGAAAACUUUUCUAUCAUACCCAAAAUUUUGUGGGAAUUUCAUGAUUCCAUCUUGGGAGGCCACAAUGGGGUGCAGAGAACCCAUAAGAGAAUAGCAAAACACUUCUUCUGACCCAAGAUGAAAAGGGAUGUUCAAGACUAUGUCACUAAAUGUGAGAUCUGCCAGAAAAUUAAACCUAUAAAUUACAAACCUCAUGGACUUCUGAUGCCACUUCCCAUUCCCUCGCAGGUGUGGCAAGAUAUUACUAUGGAUUUUAUCACUGAUUUACCCCUGGUAGAAGCAAAGUCUGUUAUUCUGGUGGUAGUCGAUAGACUAACGAAGUAUGCUCAUUUAAUUCCUCUACCAAGGAAAUUCAACGCUACAAUGGUGGCAGACGUAUUUGUCAGAGAGGUUAUCAAGCUACAUGGAAUACCUGCUUCUAUAGUUUCAGACAGGGACAAGGUAUUUACUUCCCACUUUUGGAAAGAGAUCCACCGACUCAGUGGAACUAAAUUAAAGUAUUCUUCCGCUUAUCACCCUGAAACUGAUGGACAGAGCAAAGUCACUAAUAGGGUCCUGAAAAUGUAUUUACGAUCUUAUUGCUUCCAAACUCCAAGGUUGUGGCUAAAACUCUUACCGUGGGAUGAACUAUGGUACAACUCUUCCUAUCACUCAUCUAUCAACAUGUCUCCUUUUAAGGCAUUAUAUGGAAGGAAAACUUAUGAAUAUAUUACCUCACUACAAGAAGGGCGAUACUAUUAUAGAUGCAGUUGAAACUGAUCUCCAGUUUAGAGAGGAGAACUUAGCAAAUCUGAAAAUUGAUAUGAUGAAAGCUCAGAAAAGAAUGAAAGACCAAGCAGACAACACACAGGUAUGCAUCUGAAUUCUCUUUAGGAGAAUGGGUACUAGUCAAAUUACAACCUUAUAGGCAACAAUCACUUGCACACAGGUUCAAUUUCAAGCUAAGCCAGAGAUUCUAUGACCCAUAUAAAAUUGCAAAACAAAUCAGUGGCACAGCAUACACGUUAGAAUUACCUGUGGGUAGCCGGAUACACCUUACAUUCCACAUUUCCCGUUUAAAGAUGUUCAAGGGCAGCACAGAAUCGAACAACCCACAAUCACCCUUGAUAUCAGUAGAAAACUAGCCAAUCUUAUACCCAUUGGCCGUGUUAGACGCGCGCACAAUUCUGCAGGGAGCCAAGAAUCAAAGGCAAUUACUAAUCUAAUGGGGAGGACUCUACCUGGGAGAACGUCGAGAGUCUACGACAGACAUGGCCGACUAUCAACUUUGAGGACAAGGUUGCUCUUGAAGGGGAGGAUGAUGAUAUACAACCGACCGGAGCUACUUUCACAGAUGAGGAGAUUACGAUGUUCACGGGAGGAAUGCUAGAAGCCGACGACAAGAUAAUGGAAGAGAGCAAGGACGAGAGGGAGUCGGGAUUGACACGAACCAACAAGCGAUCUUAGGUCACGCCCAGGUGGACAAAGGAUUAUGACUUAAGCGGACCCAAAGCGCGAUUCCGAAUAAUGGAUUGGGUUUCCUAAAUUUUCCUAAGUUUUUUCCCGCCGCAUCACAUUUUGUAAAAUCCCCAUUAACAUAACCGACUUAUGAAGCUAUAUAUUGCCAUACAUGUAACCUACUUUAGUAAGAAAUAUUUACAUGCAAUUUCACCGCCUCCA
Molecule: long non-coding RNA, 5695 nt
Filed under: Zostera marina
Lineage: Eukaryota; Viridiplantae; Streptophyta; Magnoliopsida; Alismatales; Zosteraceae
Description: long non-coding RNA (ZMAR_LNC000379)
Source: RNAcentral